ACGCUCGACACCUACGGAGGCAGCACUGGGGAAUAUUGGGCAAUGGGCGCAAGCCUGACCCAGCAACGCCGCGUGAAGGAAGAAGGCCCUCGGGUUGUAAACUUCUUUUGUCAGGGACGAAGCAAGUGACGGUACCUGACGAAUAAGCCACGGCUAACUACGUGCCUGCAGCCGCGGUAAUCUGAGCGGGCUGGCAAGGC
Molecule: ribosomal RNA, 200 nt
Filed under: uncultured bacterium
Lineage: Bacteria
Description: partial 16S ribosomal RNA
Rfam family: Bacterial small subunit ribosomal RNA
Source: RNAcentral